AUACCCUUCUCUGCCUUUUGGCUAAAAUCAAGUGUAGUAUCUGUUCUUAUUAGUUUAAUAUCUGAUACGUGGGCUAAUGGUCCACACGAUUUUAACUUAAUUUUUUUAGGGGAAAAGCUCAUUAUUAAGGUAGUUGGCUAUUUGGGAUUUUAAGCGUUGUCAUGGCGUUGAACUAUUGCCUAGGCCUCCCAUCAAUU
This 197-nucleotide small nuclear RNA is filed under the name Ipomoea nil (Japanese morning glory). RNAcentral's name for it is "U2 spliceosomal RNA". It matches the Rfam family "U2 spliceosomal RNA". From Rfam's summary of the family: U2 is a small nuclear RNA (snRNA) component of the spliceosome (involved in pre-mRNA splicing). The record is from Rfam by way of RNAcentral. Lineage: Eukaryota; Viridiplantae; Streptophyta; Magnoliopsida; Solanales; Convolvulaceae.